Molecule: ribosomal RNA, 254 nt
Filed under: uncultured bacterium
Lineage: Bacteria
Description: partial 16S ribosomal RNA
Rfam family: Bacterial small subunit ribosomal RNA
Source: RNAcentral
UACGAAGGGGGCUAGCGUUGUUCGGAUUUACUGGGCGUAAAGCGCACGUAGGCGGAUCUUUAAGUCAGAGGUGAAAUCCCAAGGCUCAACCUUGGAACUGCCUUUGAUACUGGGGAUCUUGAGUCCGGGAGAGGUGAGUGGAACUGCGAGUGUAGAGGUGAAAUUCGUAGAUAUUCGCAAGAACACCAGUGGCGAAGGCGGCUCACUGGCCCGGUACUGACGCUGAGGUGCGAAAGCGUGGGGAGCGAAACAGG